AGUGGCGAACGGGUGAGUAACACGUGGGCAACCUGCCCUCAGCUCUGGGAUAACUCCAAGAAAUUGGGGCUAAUACCGGAUAUGACCGCUGACCGCAUGGUCUGGUGGUGGAAAGAUUUAUCGGCUGGGGAUGGGCCCGCGGCCUAUCAGCUUGUUGGUGGGGUAGUGGCCUACCAAGGCGACGACGGGUAGCCGGCCUGAGAGGGUGACCGGCCACACUGGGACUGAGACACGGCCCAGACUCCUACGGGAGGCAGCAGUGGGGAAUAUUGCGCAAUGGGCGAAAGCCUGACGCAGCGACGCCGCGUGGGGGAUGACGGCCUUCGGGUUGUAAACCUCUUUCAGCAGGGACGAAGCGAAAGUGACGGUACCUGCAGAAGAAGCACCGGCCAACUACGUGCCAGCAGCCGCGGUAAUACGUAGGGUGCAAGCGUUGUCCGGAAUUAUUGGGCGUAAAGAGCUCGUAGGCGGUUUGUUGCGUCGGCUGUGAAAACCUGAGGCUCAACCUCAGGCCUGCAGUCGAUACGAGCAGACUAGAGUGUUGCAGGGGAGACUGGAAUUCCUGGUGUAGCGGUGAAAUGCGCAGAUAUCAGGAGGAACACCGGUGGCGAAGGCGGGUCUCUGGGCAACAACUGACGCUG
RNAcentral lists this ribosomal RNA (641 nucleotides) under Blastococcus sp. I12A-02672. RNAcentral describes it as "bacterial SSU rRNA". It matches the Rfam family "Bacterial small subunit ribosomal RNA", at positions 94 to 748 of the family's 1533-position model. Lineage: Bacteria; Bacillati; Actinomycetota; Actinomycetes; Geodermatophilales; Geodermatophilaceae. The record is from RNAcentral.